Long non-coding RNA from Ipomoea nil (Japanese morning glory), 558 nucleotides. RefSeq lists it as uncharacterized. NCBI's taxonomy places the organism in Eukaryota, Viridiplantae, Streptophyta, Magnoliopsida, Solanales, Convolvulaceae. The transcript is spliced from 2 exons. The record is from RefSeq and is a predicted model, not a curated record.
GAAUUUGGCAUCUAAAUGGUGGCAUGAUCAGCAAAGAUUUAGAAGAAAGUAAGUAGUCCAGUCUCACACACAUGCCAACAUAUUUAGAAGCUUGUGGCUUAAAACAAAUGGCAAUGUUCAGGCACUAAUGGUGGUACUGUAGUACAACAACACUUCAGUUUCUCCCAAUUAGAUUUGUCUAUUCAUUCAAACCACUCAUUGUUCACUGGAGAGAGAGACAGAAUGAGCGGCGGAGCUAAGAAAGCGGUGUGGAUGGCGUGCAUGGCUGCCGUGGAGGUGCUGAAGGACCAGGGCUUCGCGCGGUGGAAUUAUCCGAUGAGGACGCUGCACCAGCACGCGAAGAGCAAGGUGGCAGCGUCCUACCAGGCCCGGAGAUCCUCGUUGGCGCUACCGUCGUCGACGGUGGUGUCUGGGAAGGUGAUGCGACUAUGCGAGAAGCGAAGAUGAGAAAAACUGAGAGGAAUUUCAACAGAGUCAUGGACGUUAGCUGCUUCGGUCCUAGUACUGUUAGAUUCUAGUUCCCGGCCGGCGAUCAUACGCAGAUUAAUGUAUGAACAU